CGGGAUGUAGCCUAGUCUGGCCAAGGCGCCUGCUUUGGGAGCAGGAGAUCGCCGGUUCGAAUCCGGCCGUCCCGA
RNAcentral lists this transfer RNA (75 nucleotides) under Thermoplasmata archaeon. RNAcentral's name for it is "tRNA-Pro". It matches the Rfam family "tRNA". From Rfam's summary of the family: Transfer RNA (tRNA) molecules are approximately 80 nucleotides in length. Their secondary structure includes four short double-helical elements and three loops (D, anti-codon, and T loops). Further hydrogen bonds mediate the characteristic L-shaped molecular structure. tRNAs have two regions of fundamental functional importance: the anti-codon, which is responsible for specific mRNA codon recognition, and the 3' end, to which the tRNAs corresponding amino acid is attached (by aminoacyl-tRNA synthetases). tRNAs cope with the degeneracy of the genetic code in two manners: having more than one tRNA (with a specific anti-codon) for a particular amino acid; and 'wobble' base-pairing, i.e. permitting non-standard base-pairing at the 3rd anti-codon position. RNAcentral also lists the same sequence under 1 other name. The record is from RNAcentral. Lineage: Archaea; Methanobacteriati; Thermoplasmatota; Thermoplasmata.